UUAAUAUUAUUUUUUUUUAAAUCUAAUAAAAGGUAAACGAUGGCACAUUUCUCAUCAGUCUUACACAAAUCAAAAACUCUAUUUCUCAAAAUAUUGAUCCAUGUCUGCAGUCUUCUAUUUUUAGGGCUGGCAUGGAUUGCAGUGUCAAAGUUGUGGGGACCUAAAUACCUGGUGGCACCCCUGCUCACACUGUAACAGCUGGGAAAGGCUCCAGCACCGCUGUGACACUGGAAUUGAUUAUUUAAAACAACAGUGAGUAUCUUAUCAGUGUGUACUUCAAAAAUCAGUCCUGUACUGCCAUCUUCAGUAUGAUAGAUGAGAUAACACAUAACAUGUGAACACUUCCCCCUUUUUGAACACCAUAAAGACAGAUAUGGUUUCAGCUCGAUUAUUUUAUAACAGGCUCAAAGUUCAGCAUUUGACACAGUUUAUACCUGAUCUAACCAGAUUCAACAAUGUGUGUUAAUCUGAUAAAUUCAUAUUUUUCCAGCAAUAUACUUUGAUUAACAAGAACUUGGAAUCUUAAGAAGCUAUUUUUUUUCCAAAACUCUGACCAUAUAUGAGGGAUCUGCAGUUGAUAAGCCGCACCGGUUUGAGCACCGGCACUGGUAUCGGAUAAAACCUAAACGAUACCCAUCCUUGGUCACAGACACUUCGCCUGCUAGUUUGGCUCGUUGCAUCAUCCUGUUAAUUUUAUCAGUUGUUUUUCUUGUACGUAGAAAGAGGAAACACCUGAUGAGGACCAAUAGAAGGCCAAAGGAUCAGACUGAAGAUUUUCAAGUGUCCUCUGAAGAAGACAGAGAGAGAGAGCAGCUCAGUAUGAUGUGGAAGUUGCCAAUAACUUCAAGGCAGCAGCUUCAGGAGGAACAACAGAGGAGGGAGGCUGCUGAAAAUACACUUGGCGACCUGCAGAACGAUAAAGAAAAGUUGGAGAAGAAGAAUACUGAAAUCAUCAAUCAGCUCCAGCACGAGAAAGAAACAUUAGAGGAGCUGAAGAAGCAGCUGGAGUCCAAAAAUCAGGAGCUUUCUGACAGCAUCAGUGAGCUUAACAGGGAGAAAAGGAUAAAGGAGAGUGAAAUAAACACCAUGAGGGUUCAGCUGGAGUCCAACAAACAGGAGAUGAUGAAAUCUGAGAGGGAGAAGGAUGAAAUCAUUACGAAGCUGAGGCAGACGAUCCUUACACUGGAAUCAAAGGCCAGUCUCCAGGAGGAGAAACAGAGAAGGGAGAAAGCUGAGAAACAAGUUCAGAUGUUGCCAACAGAAACAGAGGAGGAGAAACAGAACAAAGAGGAAACUGAGAAAAAAGUUCAGACCUUGCAGAUCAAAACAGAGAAGAUUUCUCACAUCAACAGUCCGUCCAAGCAGAAGAAAUAGACACUGAAGGAGCCUCAGAAAGAAGUCAAGGAACAGCCCAAGAAUCAGUGCUGUGCUUUCUGAUUUGAUUUUUAAAGAAUUAGUUUACAUUUAUGUUUACAUCAACAGCUGGUGUGACAAAGCAAAUUGCAAGGCACCCAUAUGUGUAUGCUUGUGUGCAGAACAGAGAGCAAUUUUAAAAUGUGUAACUUGAAUGCUGUUAUACCCCCAACUGGUCACAGCAGAUGUCCACCCCUCCCUGAGCCUGAUUCUGCUGGAGGUUUCUUCCUCUCAAAUCGGCAUUUUUCCUUCCCACUGUCACCAAGGAACUGGACUCACAUUGAGGUUUUUUGAUUGUUGGGGUUUUCUCUGUAUUAUUGUACGAUCUUUACAUGACAACAUAAUGAACUUUGACUUUGUGACUGUUGUUGUGAUUUGGUGCUAUAUA
Molecule: long non-coding RNA, 1801 nt
Organism: Oreochromis aureus
Lineage: Eukaryota; Metazoa; Chordata; Actinopteri; Cichliformes; Cichlidae
Source: Ensembl